CGGUGUUUAACUGGCGUGAUGUGGGACGUCCUCCGGUGGGCUUAGCCUCGCGAGGGGCGGCCCAACUAAUAUCCCGUCGCGGUGCUCUUUACUGAGUGUCGAGUCGGGCCGGUACGUUUACUUUGAACAAAUUAGAGUGCUUAAAGCAGGCUAUCCUCGCCUGAAUACUGCGUGCAUGGAAUAAUGGAAUAAGACCUCUGUUCUAUUUUGUUGGUUUUCGGAACCCCGAGGUAAUGAUUAAUAGGGACAGAUGGGGGCAUUCGUAUUGCGACGUUAGAGGUGAAAUUCUUGGAUCGUCGCAAGACGGACAGAAGCGAAAGCAUUUGCCAAAAAUGUUUUCAUUAAUCAAGAACGAAAGUUAGAGGUUCGAAGGCGAUCAGAUACCGCCCUAGUUCUAACCAUAAACGAUGCCAGCUAGCGAUCCGCCGAAGUUCCUCCGAUGACUCGGCGGGCAGCUUCCGGGAAACCAAAGCUUUUGGGUUCCGGGGGAAGUAUGGUUGCAAAGCUGAAACUUAAAGGAAUUGACGGAAGGGCACCACCAGGAGUGGAGCCUGCGGCUUAAUUUGACUCAACACGGGAAACCUCACCAGGCCCAGACACCGGAAGGAUUGACAGAUUGAUAGCUCUUUCUUGAUUCGGUGGGUGGUGGUGCAUGGCCGUUCUUAGUUGGUGGAGCGAUUUGUCUGGUUAAUUCCGAUAACGAACGAGACUCUAGCCUGCUAAAUAGGCGUACCUUAUGGUAUCGCGAAGGCCCCCGGCUUCGGCCGGUGGGUUUUUACUACCAACGUACAAACAAAUCUUCUUAGAGGGACAGGCGG
Molecule: ribosomal RNA, 818 nt
Filed under: uncultured eukaryote
Lineage: Eukaryota
Description: SSU rRNA
Rfam family: Eukaryotic small subunit ribosomal RNA
Source: RNAcentral